CAGCACACACAAAAAAAAGACAGGAACACAGGGAAAAAGUGCAAUCGACAAAUCCUUGAAAAGUCUUGAAAAUUUUUAGAUAGACUAUACUUACUCAAACCCUUGUUAGAAGCUAAUUUGGAUUAAUGGACAGCCUAAUAAUAAACCAGUAUUAGUUCCUGUUGUCUUUUAAUUAACUUAUCUUAUUAGACAACUUUUCUGCGCCAUGUUUAACAACUGUGCGGGAAUACGUUUUAUUUAUUUCUGAAAUUUUCCGGUGAAAGUCGUUGCGGAAAUGAGGACGCCAACCAGUGGAGAUUGUGCAGGGAAAACGCGAUCGAACGAGAUCAAUUGGUCAUUAUUUGUCUUGGGAUUCCAUUUUUCUAUACGAUUUUCAUGGAUGAUGCUCCAAGCCUAGACCACCUAGACGGACCGGAAGUUGCAGCUAAAUUCACAUCAAACUUACUUUUUUAACCGAGGGCGGCCUCUUUCCAACGCUGUUAAUAAUAAAUAAAAAAAUGUCACGAUAUUAAUUAGCCAUGCAGUUCAACAUGCGAAUGAACUAUAACUUCCAUCGAAAAAAGGGAAAUUUGAAUCUUAAGAUGUACCCCCAAUUUAUUGACACAAUACAAAAGAACGAAGCAUUUACAGUGCCAGUGGCAUAUACCAAAGAACUCACACAUUUUAUUCACUUUAACUAGAGACUUUCAUUAAGUUUCCACCGGGCACAAAUGCGCAAAUUUUAUAACGGCCGGAGUCGUUCCACUUCUAGAGAAGCGGUCCAUGAAUCAUAAGCUCUUUGGGGUAUCACUCGGGACCUAAAGUGCUCCGCUUACUAAGAGGUCCCUACACUGACUACACCACCGAUCCUUCAGCAAUAUUUCUGUUAACUGCCUUAAAAUAUCUGAAAUGUCAUCUAAUUAGCACUAAAUGAAUAUUUAUAUUAAAAAUAAAUUACUUUAUAUACUACUAAAAAAUAUAAAACUUUUACUUGA
This is a long non-coding RNA of Daphnia pulicaria, 974 nucleotides long. RefSeq lists it as uncharacterized. The record is from RefSeq and is a predicted model, not a curated record. The transcript is spliced from 3 exons. NCBI's taxonomy places the organism in Eukaryota, Metazoa, Arthropoda, Branchiopoda, Diplostraca, Daphniidae.